Molecule: unclassified non-coding RNA, 400 nt
Filed under: soil metagenome
Description: partial contains 5.8S ribosomal RNA, internal transcribed spacer 2, and large subunit ribosomal RNA
Rfam family: 5.8S ribosomal RNA (bases 1-122)
Source: RNAcentral
GAUGAAGAACGUAGCGAAAUGCGAUACUUGGUGUGAAUUGCAGAAUCCCGUGAACCAUCGAGUCUUUGAACGCAAGUUGCGCCUCAAGCCAUUAGGUUGAGGGCACGUCUGCCUGGGCGUCACAUAUCGUUGCCUGAUGCCAGUUUCCUCGUGAUGGGUGACUGUGCAGGGCGAAUGAUGGCUUCCCGUGAGCAUUGUUGCCUCAUGGUUGGUUGCAAAUUGAGUCCUUGGUAGGGAGCGCCGUGAUAGAUGGUGGUUGAGUGACGAACGAGACCCAAUCAUGUGAGACCCCUACCGAAUUUGGCCUUCAUGACCCACAUGCGUCUUUGGAACGCUCAUGACGAGACCUCAGGUCAGGCGGGGCUACCCGCUGAGUUUAAGCAUAUCAAUAAGCGGAGGA